GAUGAACGCUGGCGGCGUGCCUAAUACAUGCAAGUCGAGCGAACAGACGAGGAGCUUGCGCCUCUGACGUUAGCGGCGGACGGGUGAGUAACACGUGGAUAACCUACCUAUAAGACUGGGAUAACUUCGGGAAACCGGAGCUAAUACCGGAUAAUAUAUUGAACCGCAUGGCUCAAUAGUGAAAGACGGUUUUGCUGUCACUUAUAGAUGGAUCCGCGCCGCAUUAGCUAGUUGGUAAGGUAACGGCUUACCAAGGCAACGAUGCGUAGCCGACCUGAGAGGGUGAUCGGCCACACUGGAACUGAGACACGGUCCAGACUCCUACGGGAGGCAGCAGUAGGGAAUCUUCCGCAAUGGGCGAAAGCCUGACGGAGCAACGCCGCGUGAGUGAUGAAGGUCUUCGGAUCGUAAAACUCUGUUAUUAGGGAAGAACAAAUGUGUAAGUAACUAUGCACGUCUUGACGGUACCUAAUCAGAAAGCCACGGCUAACUACGUG
This 497-nucleotide ribosomal RNA is filed under the name uncultured bacterium. RNAcentral describes it as "partial 16S ribosomal RNA". It matches the Rfam family "Bacterial small subunit ribosomal RNA", at positions 28 to 507 of the family's 1533-position model. The record is from RNAcentral.